AGAGUUUGAUCAUGGCUCAGAACGAACGCUGGCGGCAGGCUUAACACAUGCAAGUCGAACGCGAAAUCACCUUCGGGUGGUGGAGAGUGGCAGACGGGUGAGUAACGCGUGGGAAUCUACCUGAUGGUACGGAAUAACUCAGGGAAACUUGAGCUAAUACCGGAUGUGCCCGAGAGGGGAAAGAUUUAUCGCCAUCAGAUGAGCCCGCGUCGGAUUAGCUAGUUGGUGGGGUAAAAGCCCACCAAGGCGACGAUCCGUAGCUGGUCUGAGAGGAUGAUCAGCCACACUGGGACUGAGACACGGCCCAGACUCCUACGGGAGGCAGCAGUGGGGAAUAUUGGACAAUGGGCGCAAGCCUGAUCCAGCCAUGCCGCGUGAGUGAUGAAGGCCCUAGGGUUGUAAAGCUCUUUCGACGGGGACGAUAAUGACGGUACCCGUAGAAGAAGCCCCGGCUAACUUCGUG
Molecule: ribosomal RNA, 463 nt
Filed under: uncultured bacterium
Lineage: Bacteria
Description: bacterial SSU rRNA
Rfam family: Bacterial small subunit ribosomal RNA
Source: RNAcentral